RNAcentral lists this long non-coding RNA (850 nucleotides) under Hordeum vulgare. RNAcentral describes it as "long non-coding RNA (HVUL_LNC013696)". Lineage: Eukaryota; Viridiplantae; Streptophyta; Magnoliopsida; Poales; Poaceae. The record is from RNAcentral.
CUAGCUCCUUUUUUAUAGAAUCUUAUAUUCGCUUUUGGGCUUGCCUCAAAAAUAACCUUAUGCUCCGUUUUGAACGAUUUGUGGAAGUCUAUAGCCCGUAGAAAGCCUACACCUUAACUUUUUUUUUGGUUGCUCCAAUUUUUGGAGCGGCCCACGCAACCCAACGUGGCAGCAUCCUCCUCCACUUCCCCAGGAAACCGAUUCCGCGGGGUCCUUCCGUCGACGUAUCCAGCGGCGGCCGGUGAGUUGUUUCAAAGGUAUCCCUUCACCACCGGCCUCCGGUAGAAUUUUGAUUGUUUGGAUUGUCCGAGAUCUCUUUCCUUCUUGGUUGUAUACGGAUACAUACAUCAACUAAACCACCCAGUUUAUUAGAUUAGAUUGAUUCCACACCACAGUAAUCUGACGCAGUGUAUUUUAUUUUUGUCCUAGUUUCCAACUCCGAUCUAUUGUGUACGGAUAAACCUAUCUCUCCAUUUGUCUGGGCAACCAUACCGAUCCACUAGUUGUGUAAUCAGAUCAAUCAGUGUUUGCUGCUCUGGCUGGAUUGAAAAGAUCGAUGAUGAAAAACAAGAAGCCCCGGAUGGUGAGAGGCCAUGAAGAGCAACGCCCUUACAAAAGGGUGGCUAGGCCAAGUGAGUCCAUGCUGUUUCCAUUCUCCUGCAACUACAUAUUCACAAUUAACGCUUCUGUUAACUGUAUCGCACAUGAUUUUUAUUUUCAAUUAACUAGCUUUGUGUGCUACCUUCGUAGACAGCUUGAGUGAAUCCAGUCCAGGCGCCCUGAGUGAACUCAGUGAGCAAGUAGUUUCAAGAUUGCGUAGGAGUGUCGUGUCGCUUGCUUCAUUCGAUGG